GAUGAACGCUGGCGGCGUGCCUAAUACAUGCAAGUCGAGCGAACAGACGAGGAGCUUGCUCCUCUGACGUUAGCGGCGGACGGGUGAGUAACACGUGGAUAACCUACCUAUAAGACUGGGAUAACUUCGGGAAACCGGAGCUAAUACCGGAUAAUAUAUUGAACCGCAUGGUUCAAUAGUGAAAGACGGUUUUGCUGUCACUUAUAGAUGGAUCCGCGCCGCAUUAGCUAGUUGGUAAGGUAACGGCUUACCACGGCAACGAUGCGUAGCCGACCUGAGAGGGUGAUCGGCCACACUGGAACUGAGACACGGUCCAGACUCCUACGGGAGGCAGCAGUAGGGAAUCUUCCGCAAUGGGCGAAAGCUUGACGGAGCAACGCCGCGUGAGUGAUGAAGGUCUUCGGAUCGUAAAACUCUGUUAUUAGGGAAGAACAAAUGUGUAAGUAACUAUGCACGUCUUGACGGUACCUAAUCAGAAAGCCACGGCUAACUACGUG
Molecule: ribosomal RNA, 497 nt
Filed under: uncultured bacterium
Lineage: Bacteria
Description: partial 16S ribosomal RNA
Rfam family: Bacterial small subunit ribosomal RNA
Source: RNAcentral